CGUAAACAGAGGGAAGCGAAAUGGCGACAUGGAGCGAACCCCAAAAAUAAACGUCCCAGUUCGGAUUGCAGGCUGCAACCCGCCUGCAUGAAGCCGGAAUCGCUAGUAAUCGCGGAUCAGCAUGCCGCGGUGAAUACGUUCCCGGGCCUUGUACACACCGCCCGUCACACCAUGAGAGUCGGGAACACCCGAAGUCCGUAGCCUAACCGCAAGGGGGGCGCGGCCGAAGGUGGGUUCGAUAAUUGGGGUGAAGUCGUAACAAGGUACC
Molecule: ribosomal RNA, 268 nt
Filed under: uncultured bacterium
Lineage: Bacteria
Description: partial 16S ribosomal RNA
Rfam family: Bacterial small subunit ribosomal RNA
Source: RNAcentral